GGCAGUUUAUGGACUUUUAUUUUGGACUUCAAGAGAAGAUGCCACGUCGUUUGUCAUGUGAUUUAUCCACCUCAGAUUUGUUUUUCCUUUUUAUUUUGUUUUUCCUUUAUAUUUUGGACCAGAAUUAGUUUUGGGCCCAUUUUGGGUUAGAUUUGUAAAAAGGCCCAAAAUAGGGGCUGACUUGGGGACCUAUGGUUGAGUGCCCUUGACUUAGACACUCUCAUUUUAUUUUAUUUUUUAUGUUAGCUUUUGGACUAGAGCUCUCUAUGGUUUUCCUUUCGUUUUCUUUUUCUCUCCUUUAUUCAUUCUUGUGUUUCCG
Molecule: long non-coding RNA, 319 nt
Filed under: Vigna radiata
Lineage: Eukaryota; Viridiplantae; Streptophyta; Magnoliopsida; Fabales; Fabaceae
Description: long non-coding RNA (VRAD_LNC014640)
Source: RNAcentral